ACACAUAGAGUGUGCGUGUGUGUGUAUAUGAUCGAUCAGGGGCAGAGGGUGAGGUGAAACCCUAGUUUCACCAAAAUCCAUCAAAUUGAAGGGGGAUUGAAGGGCUAAACAAUGCAUGAACCAAGAUUUUCGAUCACUUUAGCGUUUCUACCAUCAUGAACGUGUCAAGGAGAGGUCAAGCAUAGGAGGAUAACGGGUCAAGAUAAGGCAAGGUGACAAAUACACUUAUUGGAGUACUCGAGGUAAGUGAAUUUCGAUUCACUUUUUAGUAAGUUUAAUAGAUUUUAAUACUUAUGUUUACGAAACAUCAUGAAAGAACAUGUAAUAAUCAGAAGUACAAAGCCAAUAAUGCCUCAUUAUUGAAGAAGGUUGUAUUUAAGCCGAAAGUAAAUUGGUGGGUUUAAACGGGUCGAAUUUUAUGUGCAUAUGUUGCGUAAUGUAAUGAAAUUCGUUAUGGUUAUGACCUUGGGUAAGAAUUUUUAGUCAUUUAUGUAAGGGGAACAUUUCCCGGACCAUUAGGAACAAGUUUUAUAUGAUUCGGUUGUCGGUUGGUGAAUGAACGGAUUGUUUCGUGUUAGUGUAGGAAAUUUUAUAAGUAUAUGUGUAUGGGAAUCCAAAAGGCACGUGGGUUGAAUCAUAGAUUGUCUAUACUAUGUAAGGUUGUGAACGUGUCAUUCCGGCAUAAACCUACAUGUAAACGAAGCUUGUGUAUAUAUUCGUGAUUAAUUGAUUGUGCGUAGGAAGGAACAUUGGCAUGUAUGAAGGUACGCAUGUAUAUAUAUAAGUGUAUAUAUAUAUAUAUGUGUGUGUGUGUGUAUGUAUGUAUGAUAAUAAGUACGUAGGUGUGAAUGUAUGUGUGAAUGAAUGUUCAAUGCUUAAGACAUAUGCAUGAACGUUAUCAAAGUGUUAGAGUAUUUAUGGUUACUAAUGAUGUGCGUUGAGUUGGAAUGUAAUGUAGGUAUGGGAUCGUUGGCUUCAUGAAGAAAUGGAGCUGGAUUUGGAUAAGAGUAUUUAAGAAAGCGCUUGGACAAUUCCACGACUACUUUAUAGAAUGCUCUACGAAAUUCUAUUAUAUAGUUUAAUGUUGUAUGGUAUGUUAAUGACUAAUGGUUUGGUUGUACGUGGUGUCCACAGGUAUCGCUUGGGUUUUCUCUACAUUUAUUGAAGUGAAGCGGACUUAGUUCGAGUUGAGAGCAAGGAUUGUACGGGGAGAAUGGUCACAUUGUGUAACUCAUAUAGGUUUUGAAGUAUUAAUGUUAUAAAACGUUAUAAAUCCGUUUUAAUGAAUAUAUGGCAUUUCGCAUUUGAACCUUCAUGUGUUUGAUAUGUCUAUUAAAGAACGAAAUUUUUGGGCUCUUGUUUUCCGCUGCGUCGUAUUUUAAGUUAUUACACGUUAGUCUUACAGGGAAUUGUUCUUAUUACGAACGGGUCAUGCCCGAAUUUUGUUAAAUAAUAGUAUGAUAAUAUUACAUUUU
This is a long non-coding RNA of Helianthus annuus (common sunflower), 1475 nucleotides long. RefSeq lists it as uncharacterized. The transcript has 2 exons. The record is from RefSeq and is a predicted model, not a curated record. Lineage: Eukaryota; Viridiplantae; Streptophyta; Magnoliopsida; Asterales; Asteraceae.